This 29-nucleotide non-coding RNA is filed under the name Cricetulus griseus (Chinese hamster). The record is from RNAcentral. Lineage: Eukaryota; Metazoa; Chordata; Mammalia; Rodentia; Cricetidae. RNAcentral also lists the same sequence under 1 other name.
CCACAAGGAAAGAAGACGAAGUUUGAAUA